UUCGGUGGAGCCGUCCUUGAAAUACCACCCUGGUUUGUUUGAGGUUCUAACCUUGGCCCGUGAUCCGGGUCGGGGACAGUGCAUGGUAGGCAGUUUGACUGGGGCGGUCUCCUCCCAAAGCGUAACGGAGGAGUACGAAGGUACGCUAGGUACGGUCGGAAAUCGUGCUGAUAGUGCAAUGGCAUAAGCGUGCUUAACUGCGAGACCGACAAGUCGAGCAGGUGCGAAAGCAGGUCAUAGUGAUCCGGUGGUUCUGUAUGGAAGGGCCAUCGCUCAACGGAUAAAAGGUACUCUGGGGAUAACAGGCUGAUACCGCCCAAGAGUUCAUAUCGACGGCGGUGUUUGGCACCUCGAUGUCGGCUCAUCUCAUCCUGGGGCUGUAGCCGGUCCCAAGGGUAUGGCUGUUCGCCAUUUAAAGAGGUACGUGAGCUGGGUUUAAAACGUCGUGAGACAGUUUGGUCCCUAUCUGCCGUGGGCGUUGGAUAUUUGAAGGGGGCUGCUCCUAGUACGAGAGGACCGGAGUGGACGAACCUCUGGUGUACCGGUUGUCACGCCAGUGGCAUCGCCGGGUAGCUAUGUUCGGAAGAGAUAACCGCUGAAAGCAUCUAAGCGGGAAACUCGCCUUAAGAUGAGAUAUCCCUGGGGACUAGAUCCCCUUGAAGGGUCGUUCGAGACCAGGACGUUGAUAGGUCGGGUGUGUAAGCGCAGUAAUGCGUUCAGCUAACCGAUACUAAUUGCCCGUAAGGCUUGAUCCUAUAACA
RNAcentral lists this ribosomal RNA (761 nucleotides) under Burkholderia cenocepacia. RNAcentral describes it as "bacterial LSU rRNA". It matches the Rfam family "Bacterial large subunit ribosomal RNA", at positions 2176 to 2925 of the family's 2925-position model. The record is from RNAcentral. Lineage: Bacteria; Pseudomonadati; Pseudomonadota; Betaproteobacteria; Burkholderiales; Burkholderiaceae.